CUCUGCUUUAUCCAUGGACCUUCUGU
This 26-nucleotide non-coding RNA is filed under the name Rattus norvegicus (Norway rat). Lineage: Eukaryota; Metazoa; Chordata; Mammalia; Rodentia; Muridae. The record is from RNAcentral.